This 604-nucleotide ribosomal RNA is filed under the name Lyngbya majuscula. RNAcentral's name for it is "bacterial SSU rRNA". It matches the Rfam family "Bacterial small subunit ribosomal RNA", at positions 122 to 759 of the family's 1533-position model. Lineage: Bacteria; Bacillati; Cyanobacteriota; Cyanophyceae; Oscillatoriales; Microcoleaceae. The record is from RNAcentral.
GAAUCUGCCUUCAGGUCUGGGACAACAGAAGGAAACUUCUGCUAAUCCCGGAUGAGCCUAAUGGUAAAAGAUAAAUUGCCUGGAGAUGAGCUCGCGUCUGAUUAGCUAGUUGGUGGGGUAAAAGCCUACCAAGGCAACGAUCAGUAGCUGGUCUGAGAGGAUGAGCAGCCACACUGGGACUGAGACACGGCCCAGACUCCUACGGGAGGCAGCAGUGGGGAAUUUUCCGCAAUGGGCGAAAGCCUGACGGAGCAAGACCGCGUGGGGGAGGAAGGCUUUAGGGUUGUAAACCCCUUUUCUUUGGGAAGAAGUUCUGACGGUACCAAAGGAAUCAGCCUCGGCUAACUCCGUGCCAGCAGCCGCGGUAAUACGGAGGAGGCAAGCGUUAUCCGGAAUGAUUGGGCGUAAAGCGUCCGCAGGUGGCCAUGUAAGUCUGCUGUCAAAACCCAGGGCUCAACUCUGGUCAGGCAGUGGAAACUACAAAGCUAGAGUCUGGUAGGGGCAAAGGGAAUUCCCGGCGUAGCGGUGAAAUGCGUAGAUUUCGGGAAGAACAUCGGUGGCGAAAGCGCUUUGCUAGACCAGAACUGACACUCAGGGACGAAAG